Long non-coding RNA from Cylas formicarius (sweet potato weevil), 499 nucleotides. RefSeq lists it as uncharacterized. The record is from RefSeq and is a predicted model, not a curated record. Lineage: Eukaryota; Metazoa; Arthropoda; Insecta; Coleoptera; Brentidae. The transcript is spliced from 3 exons.
GCCUGCAGUACUUCGUCGACGCUUUUUAUCAAUCCCGAAGACUUUAGUUUAUUAAAAAUCAGUCCCGAAUCGUCACCAAGUCCUUCCAGAAAAGCUUGCGACUGAUGUAAGACACUUAGCCUCACAUUUAACUCGCCAGUGUCGCCAAUGAAAGAUCUCCUGAGCCGCCCGAGAAUGUUAUCAGGAAGAAAUCGAAUACAGUGUAACGUGAAAGUGAAAGCACCAGCAGUCCCUAAAGGGAUGCCUCGAUAGCAUAACCCUUCAGUCCGGUGCCGUUCCCACGAGUCCCUCGAGAUAACCUCAAAGUAUAUAUAUGGCGAGUUCAGGGUCUCUACAAGAUACAGAAUGAAACAAUUUUAAGGGGGCAACUCGAACCGGCCCAAGUCUGCAUACUGGAGCGACAUUUUGAGGCUACUAAUCUGGAAAAUUGGUCAAAAAAUUCAUGAAUAUUUUGGGCAAGAAAGAAGUACCAAUAAUAAAUAAUUCAAUGUUUAGGUGA